RNAcentral lists this ribosomal RNA (115 nucleotides) under Acanthosepion pharaonis. The record is from RNAcentral. Lineage: Eukaryota; Metazoa; Mollusca; Cephalopoda; Sepiida; Sepiidae.
UUACGGUCAAAUCACGCUGAAACACCGGUUCUCGUACGAUCACCGUAAGUUAAGCAGCGUAGAGCCAGGUCAGUACUUAGAUGGGGGACCGCUUGGGAACACCUGGUACUGUAAG